Lagenorhynchus albirostris (white-beaked dolphin) is the source of this 8685-nucleotide RNA transcript. It is a transcript of the gene named ADAM metallopeptidase with thrombospondin type 1 motif 9, with no coding region annotated. Lineage: Eukaryota; Metazoa; Chordata; Mammalia; Artiodactyla; Delphinidae. The record is from RefSeq and is a predicted model, not a curated record. The transcript has 40 exons.
AGCAAGAAGGUGAAGAGGAACAAAACAAACCCCACGUUAUCUAUAGGCGCAGCACCCCUCACAGAGAGCCCUCAACAGGAAGGCGUGCGUGUGACACCUCAGCUGCUUCUGCACCCCUUCUUUGAAUUCAGAUGCAGGCGGCUCAGAACAGUUGGAGAGAACUUUGGAAUGUGGCACAGUUCACCAGCAGCCAUUAGAGGGAUGGACCAGCAGGUCACGGAAACCUCCAAAACCAGAACACAAAAAUAGUCACAGUAAGGACAAGAGGAAAACGAGGACGAGAAAAUGGGGAGAGAGGAGUAGCCUGGCUGAUGACGUGGCAGUAUUAAGAAGCAGCCUAACCAAAAGGGCCCUUUCUGCCUAUGGUAACAAGACGGACAGCACAAGGGAAAAGAGGACCCACAGGAGAACAAAACGUUUUUUAUCCUAUCCACGGUUUGUAGAAGUGAUGGUGGUGGCAGACAACAGAAUGGUUUUAUACCACGGAGCAAACCUUCAACACUAUAUUUUAACUUUAAUGUCAAUUGUAGCCUCUAUCUAUAAAGACCCAAGUAUUGGAAAUUUAAUUAAUAUUGUAAUUGUGAACUUAGUUGUGAUUCAUAAUGAACAGGAAGGACCUUCCAUAUCUUUUAAUGCCCAGACAACGUUAAAAAACUUUUGCCAGUGGCAGCAUUCAAAGAACCAUCCAGGUGGAAUCCAGCAUGAUACAGCAGUUCUUGUAACGAGACAGGAUAUCUGCAGAGCUCAUGACAAAUGUGAUACCUUAGGUCUGGCUGAACUGGGAACCAUUUGUGAUCCCUAUAGAAGCUGCUCUAUCAGUGAAGACAGUGGAUUGAGUACAGCUUUUACGAUAGCCCAUGAACUGGGCCAUGUGUUCAACAUGCCUCAUGAUGACAACAAUAAGUGCAAAGAAGAAGCAGUUAAGAGUCCCCAGCAUGUCAUGGCCCCAACACUGAACUUCUACACCAACCCCUGGAUGUGGUCAAAGUGUAGCCGAAAAUACAUCACUGAAUUUUUAGACACUGGUUACGGCGAGUGUCUGCUUAACGAACCUGAAUCCAGACCCUAUCCUUUGCCUCUCCAACUGCCAGGCCUCCUUUACAACGUGAAUAAACAAUGUGAAUUGAUUUUUGGACCAGGUUCUCAGGUGUGCCCGUAUAUGAUGCAGUGUAGACGGCUCUGGUGCAAUAACGUGGAUGGAGCGCACAAAGGCUGCCGGACUCAGCACACGCCCUGGGCUGAUGGGACCGAGUGUGAGCCUGGAAAGCACUGCAAGUUUGGAUUUUGUGUUCCCAAAGAAAUGGAGGUCCCUGUGACUGAUGGAUCCUGGGGAAGUUGGAGUCACUUUGGAACCUGCUCAAGAACAUGUGGAGGGGGUAUCAAAACAGCUGUUCGAGAGUGCAACAGACCAGAGCCAAAAAAUGGCGGGAAGUACUGCGUAGGGCGCAGAAUGAAAUUUAAGUCCUGCAACACGGAGCCAUGUCCCAAGCAGAAGCGAGACUUCCGAGACGAACAGUGUGCUCACUUUGAUGGAAAGCAUUUCAACAUCAAUGGUCUGCUUCCGAACGUGCGCUGGGUCCCGAAGUACAGUGGAAGUAAGUGCAUCUGGAGACGUGCUCGUGGCUGGCAGGCUGGCACGGGGUCCAGGCACAAAAGUCACGUUGCAUGGUGUCUCUCCUGUCUAGUUUUGAUGAAGGACCGCUGCAAGCUGUUCUGCAGGGUGGCGGGGAACACGGCCUACUAUCAGCUCCGUGACAGAGUGGUAGAUGGAACUCCAUGUGGCCAGGACACCAAUGACAUCUGUGUCCAAGGCCUUUGCCGGCAAGCUGGAUGCGAUCAUGUUUUAAACUCAAAAGCCCGGAGAGAUAAAUGUGGGGUUUGUGGUGGCGAUAAUUCUUCGUGCAAAACAGUGGCAGGAACAUUUAAUACAGUACAUUAUGGUUACAAUAUUGUGGUCCGAAUUCCAGCUGGUGCUACCAAUAUCGAUGUGCGGCAGCACAGUUUCUCAGGGAAAUCAGAGGAUGAUAACUACUUAGCUUUAUCAAGCAGUAAAGGUGAAUUCUUGCUAAAUGGAGACUUUGUUGUCACAAUGUCCAAAAGGGAAAUCCGGGUUGGGAAUGCCGUGAUAGAGUACAGCGGGUCCGACAACGUAGUGGAAAGAAUCAACUCCACAGAUCGCAUUGAACAAGAACUUUUGCUUCAGGUGUUGUCCGUGGGAAAGUUAUACAACCCUGAUGUGCGCUAUUCUUUCAACAUUCCAAUUGAAGACAAACCCCAGCAGUUUUACUGGAACAGUCAUGGACCCUGGCAAGCAUGCAGCAAACCCUGCCAAGGGGAGCGGAAACGAAAACCUGUUUGUACCAGGGAAUCUGAUCAGCUUACAGUUUCUGAUCAAAGAUGUGAUCGGCUGCCCCAGCCAGCACCCAUUACUGAACCCUGCGGCACAGACUGUGACCUGAGGUGGCAUGUGGCUAGCAGGAGUGAAUGUAGUGCCCAGUGUGGCUUGGGUUACCGCACAUUAGGCAUCUACUGUGCCAGAUACAGCAGGCUAGAUGGGAAGACCGAGAAGGUUGAUGACAGUUUUUGCAGCAGUCACCCCAAACCAAGCAACCGGGAAAAAUGCUCAGGAGAAUGUAACACUGGUGGCUGGCGCUAUUCUGCUUGGACUGAAUGUUCUAAAAGCUGUGAUGGUGGAAGCCAGAGGAGAAGGGCUAUUUGUGUCAACACCCGUAAUGACGUACUUGAUGAUAGCAAAUGCACGCAUCAAGAGAAAGUCACCAUUCAGAAGUGCAACGAGUUCCCUUGUCCACAGUGGAAAUCAGGAGACUGGUCAGAGUGCUUGGUCACCUGCGGAAAAGGGCAUAAGCACCGCCAGGUCUGGUGUCAGUUUGGCGAAGAUCGAUUAAACGAUAGAAUCUGUGACUCUGAGACCAAGCCAGCCUCCAUGCAGACCUGUCAGCAGCCAGAAUGUGCGUCCUGGCAGGCAGGUCCCUGGGGACAGUGCAGUGUCACUUGUGGACAGGGAUACCAGCUAAGAGCAGUGAAAUGCAUCAUUGGGACAUACAUGUCAGUGGUGGAUGACAAUGACUGCAAUGCAGCAACUAGACCAACUGAUACCCAGGACUGUGAAUUACCAUCUUGUCACCCUCCCCCCGCUGCCCCGGAAGCAAGGAGAAGCACACACAGUGCUCCAAGGACCCAGUGGCGAUUUGGGUCUUGGACGCCAUGCUCAGCCACUUGUGGAAAAGGUACCCGGAUGAGAUAUGUCAGCUGUCGGGACGAGGAUGGCUCUGUGGCUGACGAGAGUGCCUGUGCAACCCUCCCUAGACCAGUGGCAAAGGAGGAAUGUUCUGUGACCCCCUGUGGGCGGUGGAAGGCUCUGGACUGGAACCCGUGCUCCGUGACGUGUGGGCAAGGGAGGACCACCCGGCAAGUGGUCUGUGUCAACUACAGUGACCACGUGAUCGAUCAAAUCGAGUGUGACCCGGAUUAUAUCCCAGAAACCGACCAGGACUGUUCCAUGUCACCAUGCCCUCAGCGGACCCCAGACAGUGGCCUCGCUCAGCACCCUUUCCAAAACGAGGGUUAUCGCCCCAGGAGCGUCAGCCCUAGCCGCACCCACGUUCUCGGAGGAAACCAGUGGAGGACUGGCCCCUGGGGAGCAUGUUCCAGUACCUGUGCUGGUGGGUCCCAGCGGCGUGUUGUUGUGUGUCAGGAUGAAAAUGGAUACACCGCCAAUGACUGCGUGGAAAGAAUCAAACCCGAUGAGCAGAGAUCCUGUGAAUCUGGCCCUUGCCCUCAGUGGGCUUAUGGCAGCUGGGGAGAGUGUACUAAGCUGUGCGGUGGAGGCUUGCGGACAAGACUGGUGGUCUGUCAGCGGCCCAGCGGGGAACGGUUUCUAGAUCUGAGCUGUGAAAUUCUUGACAAGCCGCCAGAUCGAGAGCAAUGUAACACACAUGCUUGUCCUCAAGACGCUGCAUGGAGUACUGGCCCUUGGAGUUCGUGUUCUGUCUCUUGUGGUCGAGGGCAUAAACAACGAAAUGUUUACUGCAUGGCAAAAGAUGGAAGUCAUUUAGAAAGUGAUUACUGUAAACACCUUGCUAAGCCAAAUGGGCACAGAAAGUGCCGAGGAGGAAGAUGCCCCAAGUGGAAGGCUGGCGCGUGGAGUCAGUGCUCAGUGUCCUGUGGCCAAGGCGUGCGGCGGAGAAAUGUGGGCUGUCAGCUGGGAACACACAAAAUAGCCGGAGAGACCGAGUGCAACCCAUACACUAGACCGGAGUCAGAGCGCGCCUGCCAAGCCCCGCUGUGUCCACUCUACGCUUGGAGGGCAGAUGAAUGGCAAGAAUGCACCAAGACUUGUGGGAAAGGCUCCAGGUACCGCAAGGUGGUGUGUGUGGGUGAGGACAAAGGUGACGAGGUUCACGGCAUGCACUGUGACAUGAGCACACGGCCUGUGGAUCGCGAGAGCUGUGGCUUGCAGCCCUGCGAGUAUGUCUGGAUCACAGGAGAAUGGUCAGAGUGCUCAGUGACCUGUGGAAAGGGCUACAAACAAAGGCUUGUCUCCUGUAGCGAGAUUUACACCGGGAAGGAGAAUUAUGAGUACAGCUAUCAAACCACCAUCAACUGCCCGGGCGCACAGCCACCCAGCGUCCAGCCCUGCUACCUGCGGGAGUGCCCUGUCUCUGCCACCUGGAGAGUUGGCAACUGGGGGAGCUGUUCCGUGUCCUGUGGCGUCGGAGUGAUGCAGAGAUCUGUGCAGUGUCUCACCAACGAGGACCAGCCCAGCCACUUAUGCCCUGAUGAGUUGAAGCCGGAAGAAAGAAAAACCUGCCACAAUAUCUAUAACUGCGAGUUGCCCCAGAACUGCAAGGAAGUAAAAAGGCUGAAAGGUGCCGGUGAAGAUGGGGAAUAUUUCCUGAUCGUCACGGGAAAGCUCCUGAAGGUCUUCUGUGCAGGGAUGCACUCUGACCGCCCCAAGGAGUACAUGACACUGGUCCACGGUGACUCUGAGAAUUUUUCUGAGGUUUACGGGCACAGGUUGCACAACCCAACCGAAUGUCCCUACAACGGGAGCCGACGUGAUGACUGUCAGUGUCGGAAAGACUACACGGCGGCUGGGUUUUCCAGCUUCCAGAAGAUCAGAAUAGACCUGACCACCAUGCAGAUCAUCACCACUGACUUACAGUUUGCCAGGACACGCGAAGGACAUCCCGUCCCUUUUGCCACCGCCGGGGACUGCUACAGCGCCGCCAAGUGCCCUCAGGGUCGUUUUAGCAUCAACCUUUACGGAACCGGCCUGUCUCUAACUGAAUCUGCCAGAUGGAUCUCCCAAGGGAAUUAUGCCGUCUCUGACAUUAAGAAGUCGCCGGAUGGUACCCGGGUCGUAGGGAAAUGCGGUGGUUACUGUGGAAAAUGUGCUCCAUCCUCUGGCACUGGCCUGGAGGUUCGAGUUUUAUAGUCACGGUGCUCUGAAGAGGAAGCCAUUAUGGGAUGGAUGAAGGAUAGUGAUGAAAUACCUCCACCUUAAAAUUUGGGUGUAUGUGUGUGAGCGUGUAUGUGUGUGAGGACUUGUAUGCCUGUGUGUGUGUGUACAUAUGCAUAUAUAUAUACGUAUAUACACACAUAUAUACACAUGUAUAUAUGUGUGUGUAUAUAAAUGUGGAAUAUCCUUAUGAUGUAAAGUUUAAUAUUUAUGUUUGAAAUUAUUUAUUGUGAUGUAAUAUUUUUGUACGUAAAAUGAUUCUUUUAUGACUGCCUUUCACGUUAUUUUGUCCCCUGCAGUCAGACCACUGCAUUUUACGUACUCUACAUUAUAUGUAGUACUUUGACAAAAGUGAUCCUUCAUUAUCACGGUACACUAUUGUUUACUUUCUAUCUGUAAAUGUUUUAUUGUUACUUUUUUAAAGCCGUAAUUUUUUUAAAAAAAAACAACCUAGCCGCCAUCAAGGUGCUACAAGAAUCGUAUGAGGAUAUUUUUGGCAUUUCUAGGAACGUAUCAUUAGCCAAUCAGUAAUUCAGUGAUGUCACAGUUUGUACCAGCUAUUAAUUAUGUUAAAUAUCUAUUCAGUUUCAUGUGAUCCCUGGGAAAAGAGUGGCUGCCUUGGUGCUAAUGUUGUAUGUAUUUAAGUGAUCAUCAGACUCAGAAAUGUAAACGCUUUUAAUAAAAGGGAGACGCUAAAGGACAACUUCCAGUGGACAGGAUCACUUGGAAGAAAUAAGACCAACUGUUUACCCCUGUUUUUGGACAUGCCUUUUUGGGAAGAGAGUUGGACUUUGUUCUUGUUGUUGUUAUUCUUAUCAAUACUUUACUUCAGUUCAUGGUGCCUUGGUCUCUCUGUGGUUAAAUGGAGGGUCCCCCAAGCAGCUUCAUUACAGAGUGAUAUUAAGCAAAUGAGAGCCGCUCAGCGUUUUGCCAAGAUUCUGAAAUGGUGUCUGUGUUAACAAUUGCGACAGAGGAUGCACGGGGUGGGGGUGACCUUCGACACCUCAGCACACCUGGAGAAACUCAGAACCGGAUUCUUAGUCAUCAGGAUUGACUUUUGUAUGAAAAUAUUAGCUGGUGACUUGACGCCUUUGAGCCCUGAGCCUGAAACCCUGCCAGUGUCCAUGGCUGCUGCAGUAAUUGGUGGCAUUUAUGAGAAGAAAUGAACUGUGGAGUACAAGAUGCCUGAGUCUUUCUCAUUGCCCAUUAAUCUUUGGAUUCCAUUCAUCUUUGGAAGUCCUGUUUUUUUCUCCUUUCCAAAAUGGAAGUGCCAAAGCCGUGGUCUUUCUGCCCUUCCAGCCUGAUUGAAGAAAGGUCACGGCCCAUGUCAGACACUCGAUUUGAGGAGCCCUCCCAUUUCCAAAAACCAAAGAGAUUAGGAGAAACCUGGCAGCAUUCCCCGAAGCCAAACAAACUCCAGAGUGCUCCAGGAAGUUAUAUCAAUAUAUGAAUAAGUGUUAUCCUCCAUUAUUAAUACAGUGUGAAAAUAUACUAUGAAUAAAUACCAUGACCACAUCCAAACAUUUGUGUUUCACAUGGUUUCUGGACUCUUGAUUCAAAUUGGAAUGAACAUAUCUCUAGUUUUUAAGAUUUCCAGAUUGAGAAGAAAUGCAGACUUUCUUAAUCCCAUUGAUUGUGUUUGUCAUUCUGGAGACAGAUAAAGAAUGGGGACUGUCCCCAAGAGACUGACGGUGUCCUGGGAAUUGAGAGCUUUCCAAAGAAAUCUAAUGAACAGCUAAUAGCCAGAUACAGACAAUCCAGUGAAGGACCCUGAAGUUUAGAGCAAGCUGUCCCAUAGAACUUUCUGGAAUGAUGGAAGUCUUCUAUUCUGCACCAGGACAGUAGCUUCUAGUCUUAUGUGGCUAUCGAGAACUGGAAAUGUGGCUCGUGCAACUGAGGAAGUGCAUUUUUGCUUUUCAUUUAAAUAGCACAUACGACGAGUGACUUGCUGUAUUGGACAGUGUGCUUCUGGAAGAUGGCAGAUGCCGACGUUUGGAGAAUCCUAGGCCUGAAUGUCUGGGUGGAGACGAGCAUAGCCCCUCCCCCACCGCUGCCCCCACCCCUUCCCCUGGCCUUGGACAGUGACGUGAGCAAGAAAUUAACAGCUCUUUGGAUUGGCGUGUGAGAGUUACUGUUUUACCAGCUGGGCUGCCAUGACUGAUACAGACCCAUGUCUUAGCAGCCACCUUUAUGAAGAAAGGACAAUUCAGUCUACUCAUCCAUUUUACAAGCUCAAGGAAUGCCGGGGGCCUCUGCUGAGAUCUAGUUUUCAACCUAGUCUGUGGCAUUGAUUAUCCUGCUUAGAAGAUGAAAGAGGUGGCUUUGUGGGCCAGAGAGUAAGUAGUUUUACUUAGCGGCUUGGCCGUACUGACCCCAGCUAUAAGCUAAGUAGGAAGGUUCGGUUCUGUUCAAAACUAAGUUCCGAUCGUUUUUUACAACUGCUUUAAACUGUACGUGUCCUGUUCACGAUAGAGAAAGGGCCAUCUGGUUUGAUGAUUUUUUGGCUUGAAGAAGAGAAAACGAAAGACAAGUAUAAGCUUUAAUACUCAAGAGAUCCGAUUCUCUGCCGGAGAGGAAAUGAACUCCAUAUCCAGGAGAAUUCCACCAGGAAGGGGCCGAACAGACCGUGCUCUCUGGAGGAUUCUCAGCAGUGCCGUGAACACCAUUCUGACACUCCUUUCGGUCAUUUCCAAGGUGAGACAGUGACACACCGCUGGAGUAGGACAGCUGAUCUCACCUUCUCUGGUAUCAUCAGAAAGAGGAUCUAGGAAGCUUCCGUGCAACGCCAGAAGGGCUAGGAUGGCGGGAGCCAUCUCAUCUGCUCUAUGUGCCUGCCCGUUUCUGGGAGAAGCACCUUGACACCUGUUUUACUGUAAAGAGAACCAACUUUGGAAUCAAACAGACCUCUACCAAAAUCUCAAGUCUGUCGCUUACUAACUUCGACAAAUCAUGUCACUUCUGUGAACAUUGUUUUCUUUCAUUUAGGGAUAAUACUAAACUGACGUCACAGAGCUGCCGCAAGGAUAAAAUGAACCGGUGUCUAUGGCAGCAUUUAGGACAGGGCUUCAUACAGAAUCGGUGUCUUGGAGAACUGAGGGUUUGGAGCAUAGAAUUCCAGUUCUGGUGCAUCAAGGAAGGCCUUCAGGGUGGUCCUGUGGAUGAGGAUGUGGGCUUAUGUGUUAAUUAAAACACUGCUUCUCAAA